GAUGAACGCUAGCGGCAGGCCUAAUACAUGCAAGCCGGACGGCAAGUUGAGUAGCAAUACUUGACCUAGAGUGGCGUAAGGGUGCGUAACACGUAUGCAAUCUGCCCACAGCCGGGAGAUAGCCCUCCGAAAGGAGGAUUAAUAUCCCAUAGGAAGAUGAGAUGGCAUCAUUUUAUUUUUAAACUACGGGGCUGUGGAUGAGCAUGCGGUUGAUUAGCUAGUUGGCGGGGUAAAGGCCCACCAAGGCGAUGAUCAAUAGGGGACCUGAGAGGGUGAUCCCCCACACUGGCACUGAGAUACGGGCCAGACUCCUACGGGAGGCAGCAGUAGGGAAUAUUGGACAAUGGGUGUAAGCCUGAUCCAGCCAUGCCGCGUGCAGGGAAGAAGGCCCUUUCUGGGGUUGUAAAAGCCUCUUUUGUCCGGGACGAUGAUGACGGUACCGAAGAAUAAGCCCCGGCUAACUUCGUGCCAGCAGCCGCGGUAAU
Molecule: ribosomal RNA, 485 nt
Filed under: uncultured bacterium
Lineage: Bacteria
Description: bacterial SSU rRNA
Rfam family: Bacterial small subunit ribosomal RNA
Source: RNAcentral